This 479-nucleotide ribosomal RNA is filed under the name Symbiodinium sp. clade A. RNAcentral describes it as "eukaryotic LSU rRNA". It matches the Rfam family "Eukaryotic large subunit ribosomal RNA", at positions 143 to 581 of the family's 3401-position model. Lineage: Eukaryota; Dinophyceae; Suessiales; Symbiodiniaceae. The record is from RNAcentral.
UUGUGGCCUUUAGACAUACUACCAACGGCGGCGCGAGCGUAAGCCUCUUGGAACAGAGCGUCUACGUGGGUGAGAAUCCUGUGUUUCGCUUGAUGCCCGCCGUGCACGGUACUUGCUCUCAGAGUCACGCUCCUCGGAAUUGGAGCGUAAAUUGGGUGGUAAAUUUCAUCUAAAGCUAAAUACAGGCUCGAGACCGAUAGCAAACAAGUACCAUGAGGGAAAGAUGAAAAGGACUUUGAAAAGAGAGUUAAAAGUGCUUGAAAUCGCUGAACUGGAAGCGAAUGGAACUAGUGCUCUGGUUGAGAUUGCUGUAAAUGGCUGCGACAUCUGGGCUCUGGAACGCAAGUCCUUUGUCUGGCUUGAAGUAGUCGCUUGCAAUGUGUCUCAGCUUGAACAUCAACUUCUAUGCAUACGUGAGGAUGGCCCUUGGCUCAUGCUGUGUUGCUGUGGCGAUACUCUUGUGCUUCUGGGGAUUCAGG